Molecule: transfer RNA, 72 nt
Filed under: Ovis aries (sheep)
Lineage: Eukaryota; Metazoa; Chordata; Mammalia; Artiodactyla; Bovidae
Rfam family: tRNA
About the family: Transfer RNA (tRNA) molecules are approximately 80 nucleotides in length. Their secondary structure includes four short double-helical elements and three loops (D, anti-codon, and T loops).
Source: Rfam by way of RNAcentral
UCCCUGGUGGUCUAGCAGUUAGGACUCUGCAUUUUCACUGCUGGGGCCCAGGUUCAAUUCCUGAUGGUGGAA